RNAcentral lists this ribosomal RNA (750 nucleotides) under Staphylococcus saprophyticus. Its description in RNAcentral is "bacterial SSU rRNA". It matches the Rfam family "Bacterial small subunit ribosomal RNA", at positions 56 to 789 of the family's 1533-position model. Lineage: Bacteria; Bacillati; Bacillota; Bacilli; Caryophanales; Staphylococcaceae. The record is from RNAcentral.
UGCAGUCGAGCGAACAGAUAAGGAGCUUGCUCCUUUGACGUUAGCGGCGGACGGGUGAGUAACACGUGGGUAACCUACCUAUAAGACUGGGAUAACUUCGGGAAACCGGAGCUAAUACCGGAUAACAUUUGGAACCGCAUGGUUCUAAAGUGAAAGAUGGUUUUGCUAUCACUUAUAGAUGGACCCGCGCCGUAUUAGCUAGUUGGUAAGGUAACGGCUUACCAAGGCGACGAUACGUAGCCGACCUGAGAGGGUGAUCGGCCACACUGGAACUGAGACACGGUCCAGACUCCUACGGGAGGCAGCAGUAGGGAAUCUUCCGCAAUGGGCGAAAGCCUGACGGAGCAACGCCGCGUGAGUGAUGAAGGGUUUCGGCUCGUAAAACUCUGUUAUUAGGGAAGAACAAAUGUGUAAGUAACUGUGCACGUCUUGACGGUACCUAAUCAGAAAGCCACGGCUAACUACGUGCCAGCAGCCGCGGUAAUACGUAGGUGGCAAGCGUUAUCCGGAAUUAUUGGGCGUAAAGCGCGCGUAGGCGGUUUCUUAAGUCUGAUGUGAAAGCCCACGGCUCAACCGUGGAGGGUCAUUGGAAACUGGGAAACUUGAGUGCAGAAGAGGAAAGUGGAAUUCCAUGUGUAGCGGUGAAAUGCGCAGAGAUAUGGAGGAACACCAGUGGCGAAGGCGACUUUCUGGUCUGUAACUGACGCUGAUGUGCGAAAGCGUGGGGAUCAAACAGGAUUAGAUACCCUG